This 254-nucleotide unclassified non-coding RNA is filed under the name uncultured bacterium. Its description in RNAcentral is "partial 16S ribosomal RNA". It matches the Rfam family "Bacterial small subunit ribosomal RNA", at positions 524 to 776 of the family's 1533-position model. RNAcentral also lists the same sequence under 1 other name. The record is from RNAcentral.
UACGUAGGGAGCGAGCGUUGUCCGGAUUUACUGGGCGUAAAGGGCGCGUAGGCGGUCUGUUAAGUAUGAAGUGAAAUCUCCAGGGCUCAACCCGGAAACUGCUUUGUAAACUGGCAGACUAGAGGAAGGUAGAGGUAAGUGGAAUUCCCGGUGUAGCGGUGACAUGCAUUGAUACCGGGAGGAACACCCGUGGCGAAGGCGGCUUACUGGACCUUAUCUGACGCUGAGGCGCGAAAGCGUGGGUAGCAAACAGG